GCGAGCAAGGCAAGUCACAUCAUCCUUGAACAUAUUGAAUCCCAGUUUAUAAAAUUAUUUUGAUUUAAAUUUUUGCAUUAUCGCUUUAUUUAAAUUCCCGCGUUAUCACUGUUUUAUCUAGCCAUGCCUAUGUACCUUUGUUAUGACCUUAUUAUUGUUAUUGUUAUUAUUUCCUUGUUCACCCUAGAAUAAACAAAACCCCAACUAGUGGACACUCUACUCAAGGUACCACUAGUAUGAUUUUAGUUAGAUGCUUCGCUGGUUAAUUAGGUAACAUUAGGUGGUUUACAACUCUAGACUUUGGGAAUACUCUUAUCACCUGGACACUAUGGAAUUGUUGGAUUAUUGUGGAAUCGGAUGCACACCUCCCCCUCUAUUCAAAAUCCUCAAAAUGGUUUUAGGCUGGGCUCGGGGUGCAUGGUUUUGAUAGUAGCACCUCGGCCAUAUAAGGACCGGUCUUCGGGCCUCUGUUGCAAAGCACUACCGUACUUCCACAUGUCUAGUGGGUAAGGCUUAGUUUGUGGCUCAGUCUGGUUAUAAACAAAAGUACACGGAUGGAGAUGGACGAAGUCGGGGGUCGAUGGACAUCUCUAGGGCAAAUGAAGGCUACACGAGCUGCGGCCUGGUAGUCGAGAUGUCAUGGCACAGGGCCGGUGUCCUGCUGCUAGGGGCUUAGUCCUGCCUACCUGUCCCGGAGGUUUCGGCCGUAGGUGGGGUUGGGUCAGUACUCUUGUCUAUGGCUAGGAUGGGUUGGAAACUAUGUCAUGUCUUCCGUCCGUAUACCAUGGUGGUAUAUGGCACGUGGUUACACGUGAGGAAGAGGUGUCUUGUGGGUAAAGAUGUACACCUCUGAUCAGAGUAUAAUCUAUUCGAAUAGCCGCGCCCUCGGUUAUGGGCAAGCCGAGCAAUGUACCCAAGUUAGUGUUGUAAUUCUUAAAACCUGCUUAACAACUAAAAUGUGGAAUGGUUGGCCUGGGUUGGCUUGGGACGAGCUGGGACCCAGGGUCGGGUUGCUAGUUCGGUCUGAAUUAUCGUAGGCCUUGGGUUAAGGCAGGUUCGUGUGGGUUCACGGCCUUGUUUAAUAAUCUUGUAUAGCUCUAGGAUCGUAUUUACAAAAUAGCUUUGAGCAACUAAGUGUCUUUUAAUGCUGUUUGCUGCAAACCCUAACCCUCUAUAUUAUAACCCCCUUGUACUCCCUUGCAUUUAUCCUGCACUUGUGGGUGUGUCUUGUUGAGUACGGUGGUUGUACUCAGUCUUGCUCAAUUUUUGCCAAACCCAGAAGAGGAGCCCCUGGAUGAUGAAGGCUUUGGUGUCUAGCUCGCGCCUGCCGUCAAGCGCCUGUGGUCGUCGCCCUAGUCUUCCGCUGUUUCCCGUUUGUCUUUGUGUGUGCUGGGCCUUCGCCGGCCAUGUAAUAAAUUAACUAUUUACGCUUCCGCUUGUUAAACUCUGAACUGUAUCAACUUUUGGUGUACCUUGCCUCCUGGGACAAGGAAUAAUGCACGCACGUAAGGAACGCCCGUUGGGUUAUUUCCGGUCGUGACAAGUUGGUAUCAGAGCCCCCUUGACCCUAGGACGAGCCGUAGAUCCCAAGCCUUAGCAAUAUUUUCAAAAUAAAAAUCCUUUCUUAUUUGUGAAAAUCCUUUAGUCUCUCUCUGUCCUGCUGCUUCAUUUAUCGUCAAAAUCUGAUCUUUAAAAUGUUGCUUUUCUCUUUUGUUUGUAGAUGGCCGGCAGCAUCAACCGUCGUGGUCUGGACCUGACUGGCUUCGUUUUGGAGCUGCGGGGCAUGUGCGUUGUCCUGGGGUAUCCGCAUGGAGUGGACUACCAGGGCAAGCGGCUCCCGGAGCAGGAGGGUGACGAUGCAGAGCCCCACGCUGCUUGGGAGAUUACUGCAGUGAUCCUCACUGGCUCACCCGAGAGGACUUCGUUGGUAGUCACCGUGGGUGGAGAUUCCUUCUCUGCCGCUUGCCAGAACGCCGCACUCCUCGCCAUCGGCACUCUCCACCAGUGCUACCCGAACGAGUUGCAGCACUCGCCCUACCGCUACCACCCUUGCCGCGGAGGAGCCCGCGACUACGCCACCUUCCGGGAUGCUAGCUCGGAGGAUGACGCUACCAUCAUGCACCUGGCGCGCAUGGUGGAGGCGUACGACGCGGCCCAUAUCGACUUCCAUCAGAUGGUGCGUCGUGGGUUGGUCGAGAACAACAUGAAGAUCCUGGAGCUGCGUCAGGAGAAUCUGCAGCUGAAGAAGGACCUAGACGCAGUGGACGCGCAGCUGCGUCAGCUCAAGAUCGCCCAGGGAGAGGUCUGUCGCCCCAAGCGUCGCCGCGUCUGCCGCAGCCUGAAGAUCACCGCCCGCAAGAGUACCUCCAGGCCCGAGCUUGUUCGUCAGUCCCUGGCGUGGACCUGCUUCGUCGAGACCCCUCGUGCUGAGCCCGCGCCCGUGGUUCCUCAGGAGGAUGGAGCCUCCGGCGUUGGCAGCACGGAGGAUGUGCUGCUGCUCACCUUCCGCCCUGGCCCGUCGCAGUAGUAGACGAGCAGUUAGUAGGCUUGCGUGUGUGUUCUUCUCGUUUGUUUUUCUGCUAGAGUCGUAUGGGGCAUGGUUAUGCCGGUGUGUGGUAUAACUGUGUCGGAGCUUGUCUUUAUUUUAUUUGCUUAAGCAACUUGAACUUUAAUGAACCAAUUUAAUAGCAGUAAUAAAUUCAAGAAUUAUGGUAGUCGUGGGUGGUUAGUUUUAAUUGUCAGCUCUCUCUGUUUGCUGGUUCUGUGUGGGGUUUUCAGAUGGUGACAACCAGGAGAAGUGCUGCUACCGGUGAAGGCAGUCACCCCGAAGGCAGCAACCACAACAACCAUGGCAGCCCACCUCCACCUCCUCCCCCGCCUCCACCACCACCACCAGACACCAACUCCAUCCUCACCCAAAUCCUCGCCUAGCAGGCCAACAUGAUGGCUGCUUUCCUCCACCACAUCCAAAAUCCGCCACAACAUAAUGCUCCACCACCACCCCCACAACACUCUAAACUCGCCGAGUUCCUCCGCAUCCGUCCACCUACCUUCUCUAGCUCCAAUAACCCCGUGGACGCGUUGGAUUGGUUGCAUGCCGUGGGGAAAAAGUUAGACACCGUGCAGUGUAGCGAUGAGGAGUAAGUCAUCUUCGCCGCCCACCAACUGCAGGGGCCCGCAUCUCUAUGGUGGGACCAUUUCCAGGCUAUGCAGCCAGAGGGGCAGCCUAUUACUUGGGCCCGCUUCACCGCCGCUUUCCGGAGAACCCAUGUGCCCGCCGGAGUCAUGGCCCUUAAGAAAAGGGAAUUCCGAGAGUUGAAGCAAGGCAACCGCUCCGUGAUGGAGUAUUUGCAUGAGUUUAACAACCUGGCCCGGUACGCCCUGGAGGAUGUUCGUGAAGAUGAGGAGAAGCAAGAGAAGUUCUUGGCAGGAAUGGACCCUGAGCUGUCCGUGCGUCUGGUCUCCGGGGACUAUCUGGAUUUCCAACGUCUGGUGGACAAGAGCAUCCGCUUGGAAGCCAAGCACAAGGAACUGGAGUCGCACAAGCGUCGCUUGGCGAAUUUCCGCAACCAACAGGGGGCUAACCAAAAGGUCCGCUACACCGCUACACCAAUCCCUAUCCAGGGAGAUCCUCCUCGCAGCAGCAACAGCAGCAGCAACCUCGCUCCGCGCCCCGACCUCAAUUCGUGGUGCGCGUCCCACAGCCGCAGCAACAGCAGAGUCAGCAAGGGACUCGUGCGCCCCGUCCUCCUACGCCAGCCGUGCAGCCUGGUCAAGGCCGCAGGGACGUUCAAGGUCAGCAGUGUCUGUGCUUCAACUGCUUCGAGCCUGGGCACUUUGCGGAUAAAUGCCCAAAGCCGAGGUGCCAGCAAGGCCAAGCGCCUCCCCGCUCCAACCACGGUGGUAAGGAUGUCAUACGGGGUCGUGUGAACCACGUGAUGGCCGAGGACGUGCUGACAACUCCAGACGUCAUCGUUGGUACGUUCCUCAUUCAUUCCAUCCCUGCUACCAUUUUGUUCGACUCUGGAGCUUCCCACUUGUUUAUAUUUGUGCCAUUCGUGGGGAGAAAUCAGUUGGGGGUAGAAAGGCUUAGGAACCCUCUGCUCAUCACCACCCCUGGAGGGGUUAUGACAGCAAAGUAUUAUAGCCCUGCCGUUCCUAUAGAAAUUCAGGGAAUUCCUUUUUCCUCGGAUCUGAUUCUUCUAGACACCAAGAACUUGGAUGUGAUCCUUGGGAUGAAUUGGUUGGCUCAAUUCCAAGGAGUAGUGGAUUGUGCAAGACGCACUGUCACUCUGUACCGAGGGCCGGAACAACCGGUUGUUUUCUUUGCACCCCCAACCUCUGUCGGUAGUUCAGAACUUCAUCAGAUAAGACUGUCGGAAAUCCCCAUCAUCAGAGAGUUCGGAGACGUGUUUCCGGAAGAACUACCCGGUAUGCCGCCCAAGCGAGAGAUUGAGUUCCGGAUAGAUCUUGCUCUAGGAACCACUCCUCUGUACAAGCGACCCUACCGUAUGGCAGCAAAUGAACUGGCCGAAGUCAAGAAACAGUUGGAAGAGUUGAAAGAAAAGGGGUAUAUACGGCCGAGUACUUCCCCCUGGGGUGCUCCUGUGAUUUUUGUGGAGAAGAAAGACAAGACGAAGAGGAUGUGCGUUGAUUACAGAGCUCUCAAUGAAGUUACUAUCAAAAACAAGUACCCUCUUCCCCGGAUCGAUGAUCUGUUCGAUCAGCUUAAAGGUGCCACGGUAUUCUCCAAGAUUGAUCUUCGUUCCGGAUAUCACCAGUUGCGCAUCCGUGAAGAAGAUAUCCCGAAGACCGCAUUCACCUCGCGAUACGGACUAUAUGAAUUCACGGUGAUGUCGUUCGGUUUAACCAAUGCUCCUGCCUUCUUCAUGAACUUAAUGAACAAAGUGUUCAUGGAAUACUUGGAUAUGUUUGUUGUGGUUUUCAUUGACGACAUUCUGGUGUACUCACAAUCAGAGGAAGACCAUCAGCACCAUCUCCGUCUGGUGUUGGGAAAGUUGCGGGAACAUCAAUUGUAUGCCAAACUUAGCAAGUGUGAGUUCUGGUUGUCCGAAGUCAAAUUCUUAGGGCACGUGAUAUCUGCUAAAGGAGUUGCUGUGGACCCCGAAACAGUGACCGCCGUCACUGAUUGGAAGCAACCUAAGACAGUCACUCAAAUUCGCAGUUUUUUGGGUUUGGCAGGAUACUACCGGAGGUUCAUCGAGAACUUCUCCAAAAUCGCUCGACCCAUGACACAGUUGUUGAAGAAAGAAGAGAAAUUUGUGUGGAGCCCGCAAUGCGAGAAGGCAUUCCAAACUCUCAAGGAAAGGCUGGUUUCCUCGCCGGUUUUAAUCUUACCGGAUACUCGCAAGGACUUCAUGUUGUACUGUGACGCUUCGCGCCAAGGAUUGGGAAUAUUCAUAUCACAUGGACAUUGGAAUGGUUGGAUUAUUGUGGAAUUGGAUUCACACCUCCCCCUCUAUUCAAAACCCUC
Molecule: long non-coding RNA, 5494 nt
Filed under: Oryza sativa (Asian cultivated rice)
Lineage: Eukaryota; Viridiplantae; Streptophyta; Magnoliopsida; Poales; Poaceae
Description: long non-coding RNA (OSAT_LNC001340)
Source: RNAcentral